CAUUAUUUGACUAUUUAGCAGAAUCCAUGGAGUUGUCUUACUAAAAUACACACUAUGACAGUUUAUUCACUUCUGGAAUAAGUGUGUGAACAACUCCCCAUCUUGUAACACUUAAUGUCAAGACUUUCAGUUCCCUUUCCUACACACUGGGGCUUGUGUGUCAGUCAAAGGAAGGGAAAGAUCACGAGUUACAACAGAACACAGAGACUGUAGAAGGGAGACUAGUCUCUCUUUGUCUAGUAGUCAGAGAACCACAGUCUAGAACCAGAACCAGAGCCUAGCUGGGUUGUGAUGUGGACCCAAGGGGAAGACACCAACGCUGCAACCUCUGGUGGAGAAAGCAGUUGCUCCUCUGAAGAUGAAGGAGACAUUCAGUGUGAGAUUCUGGAGAAGCAGAGGGAUGAAGCCAAUCAGAAGCUAUCUGAGAUGGAGGAAGGUGAGCUGCACCAAUCAAUAUCCUUAUAGUGUAUGCAGAAAGUAUUCAGACCCUUUAAUUUCUCCACAUUUUGUUACGCUACAGCCUUAUUCUAAAAUUGAUUAAAUUAAUGUUUUUCGGACCUCCCGGGUGGCGCAGUGGGCUAGCUGUGCCACCAGACUCUGGGUUUGCGCCCAGGUUCUGUCGCAGCCGGCCGUGACCGGGAGGUCCAUGGGGCGACGCACAAUUGGCCUCG
Molecule: long non-coding RNA, 671 nt
Filed under: Oncorhynchus kisutch (coho salmon)
Lineage: Eukaryota; Metazoa; Chordata; Actinopteri; Salmoniformes; Salmonidae
Description: lncRNA (ENSOKIG00005041592.1)
Source: RNAcentral